RNAcentral lists this ribosomal RNA (220 nucleotides) under Blastocystis sp. subtype 3. RNAcentral's name for it is "partial 18S ribosomal RNA". It matches the Rfam family "Eukaryotic small subunit ribosomal RNA", at positions 779 to 1000 of the family's 1831-position model. The record is from RNAcentral. Lineage: Eukaryota; Bigyra; Opalinata; Blastocystidae.
CGCUGGCUUUUGCUUGAAUAUAUUAGCAUGGAAUAAUCAUGUAUGAUUUUCAUGAUGUACUUGAUUGGUUUGGUUCAUGAGAAUAAGAUUAAAAGGGACAGUUGGGGGUAUUCAUAUUCAAUAGUCAGAGGUGAAAUUCUCGGAUUUAUGGAAGAUGAACAAGUGCGAAAGCAUUUACCAAGGAUGUUUUCAUUAAUCAAGAACGAAAGUUAGGGGAUCG